RNAcentral lists this ribosomal RNA (335 nucleotides) under uncultured bacterium. RNAcentral describes it as "partial 16S ribosomal RNA". It matches the Rfam family "Bacterial small subunit ribosomal RNA", at positions 338 to 670 of the family's 1533-position model. The record is from RNAcentral.
CCUACGGGAGGCAGCAGUGAGGAAUAUUGGUCAAUGGGCGGAAGCCUGAACCAGCCAAGUAGCGUGCAGGAUGACGGCCCUACGGGUUGUAAACUGCUUUUAUACGGGAAUAACGCGCCUUACGUGUAGGGCUUUGCAUGUACCGUAUGAAUAAGGACCGGUAAAUUCCGUGCCAGCCGCCGCGGUAAUACGGAAGGUCCGGGCGUUAUCCGGAUUUAUUGGGUUUAAAGGGAGCGUAGGCCGCAUGUUAAGCUUGCUGUGAAAUGUCCGGGCUCAACCCGGGACUUGCAGCGCGAAGUGGCGUGCUGGAGUUCGCGGAAAGCAGGCGGAAUUGG